GACGAACGCUGGCGGCGUGCCUAAUACAUGCAAGUAGAACGCUGAAGGAGUAGCUUGCUUCUCUGUAUGAGUUGCGAACGGGUGAGUAACGCGUAUGUAACCUGCCUGGUAGCUGGGGAUAACUAUUGGAAACGAUAGCUAAUACCGCAUAAGAGUAGAUGUCGCAUGACAUUUUCUUAAAAGGUGCAAUUGCAUCACUACCAGAUGGACCUGCGUUGUAUUAGCUAUUUGUUGAGGUAAAGGCUCACCAAGGCAACGAUACAUAGCCGAACUUUGAGGGUGAACGGGCCAAUUGGGAAUAGGACACGGACCAGACGGCGAAGGGAGGCAGAAGAAGGGAAUCUUCGGCAAAGGACGGAAAUCUGAACGAGCAACGCCGCGUGAGUGAAGAAGGUUUUCGGAUAGUAAAGAUCUGUUGUAAGAGAAGAACGAGUGUGAGAGUGGAAAGUUCACACUGUGACGGUAUCUUACCAGAAAGGGACGGCUAACUACGUG
RNAcentral lists this ribosomal RNA (495 nucleotides) under uncultured bacterium. Its description in RNAcentral is "partial 16S ribosomal RNA". It matches the Rfam family "Bacterial small subunit ribosomal RNA", at positions 28 to 507 of the family's 1533-position model. The record is from RNAcentral.